Long non-coding RNA from Gallus gallus (chicken), 1398 nucleotides. NCBI's taxonomy places the organism in Eukaryota, Metazoa, Chordata, Aves, Galliformes, Phasianidae. The record is from Ensembl.
GCUCUGUUCUUCAUUUUUUUUCUAAAGGACCAACAUCACUGCUUUGCCUUCAGAACUGCUGGGCUAUUCAGGUAAAUGUUUCACGUUCAUCAUGCACAACAACCUCAUAUGGCUUGGGAUGGAAAUGAUGCCCAGUAAUCUACUGAUGAGAGCCUGUGCUGCAAGAGCACAAAAGCAAAUCAUCCACAUGCAAAACUGUCACGGUUGCAGUAGUUUUCUCAAAUGCAGCUUAACCGUAGAUCCAAAAAAAAGCAGAAACCAGCUAUGAUUGUGACCUUCUAACUCCGGAGAUGUAAGAGGGCCUAGACACAUCCUCUUUGACUGUUACCAUGUGGCUGCUAGAAUAAGAAAAAUCAGAAUAAACAGAAAUUAACAUUUGUACAACCAAUGUAAAUAUGCAUUUUCUUUUCAACUUUUCAACUAUACAGCCAAUUCAGCAAAACUUUCAUUUUCUAAACCUUGUUGAAAUAACCUGGACUUAAGUAUAUGAGUUUAAAGUUAAGUAUUUGUUCUCUAAUAUUUGUCUAGGAGCUGCUAAGGAUUGGAUUUUGCCAAGUAGCUUAGCAUAUAAUAUGCAUGUGUUACCGAAUUCAUCUCAAAUUCUCUGAUAAUUAAGCACCUAUUUUCAGUUUUUUUCAUUUAUAUUAGAACUAUGGGAUCUUCCCAGAUGCAUACUCCAGCCACUUCCAGAAGCACUCAAAAUAAGGUCCAUGCACAUAUAAAUGCCCUUCUGCAGUUAGGACAACAAAAAUGCAAUACGUACCUUGUAUCUCGGCAUACCCCAGAACAUAAGUCCCUUAAAUUAGAUUUGUCUCUGGACACCUAUUGAACAGACAAGGCUCUGUCUUUCUCCAUUGGUAAUAGAGAAAAACUUCAAUCAUGAUGGGUAGGUAAGAUUCACUGUGUGGGAGAACAGACUUUUAGAGCUAGUUUAAAGAAUAAAGGGUUCGGAAACUUCUUAUAUAUGGCUCAGAAAUUACUAUAUCCUAUAUUUUAAAAUUGGAAACUACAUUAUGCUACAUUACAACCACUCUGUAUUUUUCCUGUUUAGAUGAAGAGACUCGGGAGCCCAAUUGAGACUGUUUUUGUUUUGCUAAGCCAGUCCUGAUGUGUUUGUACAGUCCGGACUGUGCAGAGAUUAAGACAGAUAACCAUAUACAUAUAUCUACAUCUAUAACACUUAUUAUUUGUCAUAUAAGACCUAUUCAGACAGAUUUGCAUCUCAGUUAUUUUGCUGUAUGGUAGGUAUGUGUUUCCUUUUAGAUUCUGUUCUAUGCAGUAAAAGCAAAAAUUAGUUCAUCAAGUCAGUCACUGAAUGGAAGUGUGAGCUUAUCAUUUCAUUUUUUUUUUUCCUACAUAGUUUCCACACACUGAGAUGGUUGUGUAUGUUCUUUGGCC